Talpa occidentalis (Iberian mole) is the source of this 1063-nucleotide long non-coding RNA. RefSeq lists it as uncharacterized. The record is from RefSeq and is a predicted model, not a curated record. The transcript has 3 exons. NCBI's taxonomy places the organism in Eukaryota, Metazoa, Chordata, Mammalia, Eulipotyphla, Talpidae.
UUCCACUGAUCAGCUUCUGGGGUCCCUUGUCAAUACAUCGGUCCUCGGCCAGGGCGUUCCCGGCCAUACAUAUCUCGUGAUGGGCAGCAGGUUUAAUUGCUGCACUUACCAGAGAAAAUUCCUGGAGCUCUAGAACAAUUGGUGAGGAGAGGAUGCCUCGGCAGUGCCUGCAGCAUUGUUCAGGGUGGCCCCCAGGAAAGGGGGAGGUUCCAGGUUUCCUGGCCCACCCAAGGGAGGGUGGAGCUGAGCAGAGAGAGAAGAAGCUGCAGAGGAGACUGAGGAAGGAAGCAGAAUGGAGCCAGAAGGAGACCUGGAGGAGGCACAUGGAGCCUAGAGACACGUGAAGAAACUGUGCUUGUCUUUCGGUCGUGGACUGGGUGACACAGAUGUGGGUGAGACCCGUAGGGAGGUGACAAUGGCAGUUUUUAUCUUGAUUUUGAUUUUGCUCUUUUCCUUGGGCUUGUCUGGUUGUUUCUGACCCUUUUCUGUGGGUCCCCACGGGAAGAUGCUUUAGACUUGUGGCAGGCUGUGGGGCCUUGCUCUGGGCCAAUCCCAUUUGGAUGUGUUAGGGGGAAAUGAUGUCCUGAGUUAAUCCCAUACAGGCUUUGUGGACCCCACCCCCACUCCAGACUAAAGCCAUCAAGACAUUGGGAAAGACAAAUCCCAUCACCACAAAAGGGAGGGUGGCUGGGACCUGAGGGUGGAGUUGGGCAGCCAGGUUGGAUAUAAAAACCAAACACGUGGGCCUUGGGGUCGCUGGCUCGCGAUCGCUCGCCUCCUGGCUUCACCGCUCCUGGCUGGCGGCCAACUCUGAGAGCGCCAUUUUGUGAUUCCUGAUCGGCGGAUUGGGUAGGACUCAUUUAAAACUUUGUCUCCCACUUUUCUCCCAGAGCUGUACAUUUCCUCAUUUCCCCUUCCCUUGUAAAUAAACCUUUUAUUAACCUUUCGCGUGCGCCUGCAGUAGAGCAUUGAUAAGUCCUUUUAAGCGUGCGGGUGAGGACCCACAGUCAGGCACCCUGUUUUGUAUAGGGGUUGCUCUACAACAGUUGGAGUUUUACCCACA